This 253-nucleotide ribosomal RNA is filed under the name uncultured bacterium. Its description in RNAcentral is "partial 16S ribosomal RNA". It matches the Rfam family "Bacterial small subunit ribosomal RNA", at positions 524 to 776 of the family's 1533-position model. The record is from RNAcentral.
UACGGGGGGUGCAAGCGUUAAUCGGAAUUACUGGGCGUAAAGCGCGCGUAGGCGGUUAAUUAAGUCGGGCGUGAAAUCCCUGGGCUCAACCUAGGAAUUGCAUUCGAUACUGGUUAGCUAGAAUGUGGUAGAGGGAAGUGGAAUUCCAGGUGUAGCGGUGAAAUGCGUAGAUAUCUGGAGGAACAUCAGUGGCGGAGGCGACUUCCUGGACCAACAUUGACGCUGAGGUGCGAAAGCGUGGGUAGCAAACAGG